This 468-nucleotide ribosomal RNA is filed under the name uncultured bacterium. RNAcentral describes it as "partial 16S ribosomal RNA". It matches the Rfam family "Bacterial small subunit ribosomal RNA", at positions 28 to 507 of the family's 1533-position model. The record is from RNAcentral.
GACGAACGCUGGCGGCGUGCUUAACACAUGCAAGUCGAACGGAAAGGCCCUGCUUUUGUGGGGUGCUCGAGUGGCGAACGGGUGAGUAACACGUGAGUAACCUGCCCUUGACUUUGGGAUAACUUCAGGAAACUGGGGCUAAUACCGGAUAGGAGCUCCUGCUGCAUGGUGGGGGUUGGAUAGUUUCGGCGGUUGGGGAUGGACUCGCGGCUUAUCAGCUUGUUGGUGGGGUAGUGGCUUACCAAGGCUUUGACGGGUAGCCGGCCUGAGAGGGUGACCGGCCACAUGGGGACUGAGAUACGGACCAGACUCAUACGGGAGGCAGUAGUCGGGAAUAUUGCACAAUGGGCGGAAGCCUGAUGCAGAAACGCUGCGUGCGGGAUGACGGCCUUCGGGUUGUAAACCGCUUUCGCCUGUGACGAAGCGGGAGUGACGGUAAUGGGUAAAGAAGCACCGGCUAACUACGUG